GUGGUGCAAGUGAAGAUGCUGUGGCUACCACCCCAACACCAAAUCCCCCAACUACAUCUGACCACACUGCAGCUACCGAUGAUGCAAGUGAGGUUGCUGUGGCUGCCCAAACUGGAACUACUGUAUCCCAUACGACUGAAGUCUGAUUCGACUGCUCCUCUGGUCACAAUGACCCGAGUCACUGUCUGGACUUUUUGCCUCUACAUGUUGACUGCAAUAAACGACAGAUUUGUUUUUUAAUCAAAUGUUGUCUUGCCUUUUUCAAAUUGAGGCCUUGUCCUGUUUUGGUGGUGGAGAUGACUAUGACGCC
Long non-coding RNA from Clupea harengus (Atlantic herring), 310 nucleotides. The record is from Ensembl. NCBI's taxonomy places the organism in Eukaryota, Metazoa, Chordata, Actinopteri, Clupeiformes, Clupeidae.